Molecule: small RNA, 28 nt
Filed under: Bombyx mori (domestic silkworm)
Lineage: Eukaryota; Metazoa; Arthropoda; Insecta; Lepidoptera; Bombycidae
Description: ovarian small RNA-20598
Source: RNAcentral
UACCAUACGGAGCUUCGCCACCAGACGC